UGUUGCCGGCCGGGUCGCAGUUUAUCCUGGAGACGGUUGUCAAGGAGCGAACGCCGCGUCGCUGGGCAACAACAGACCGAGGAUUGUUCGCGGGGCCCCGAGGCUGGGCUGAGCCCCGCGGCCGGCAGCCCCCGCCGCGGCCAUGGCCACGGCCUCCAUGCUCCCCGCGCGCAACCAGGAGGCGGCGGCUGCAGCCAGCGGCACCUACAGCUCCUGCAGCCGCCCCCGGGCCCUGCCCGCCCGGCGGAGAUACCGGGGCGCCCCGGGACCCAGCGAGCAAGAGGAAGAACCUGUUCGCUAUGCGAACCUCAUGUACGAUAGGAGAGUGGUACGAGGCAACACUUAUGCCCUUCAUACAUUACCUUGGACUGCUCAGCCUGACCCUCUUGAGUUCCAAAGGCAGCGAGAGGCUCACAGGAAAGCACUUGCCAGAAAACGAGCAAAAGAGCAGCUUCAGUCAAGAACUCCAGAGCCUGUAGAGGGCAGAAAGCAUGUUGAUGUGCAGACAGAGUUGUAUCUGGAAGAGCUUGGUGACCGCAUAAUAGAGGUUGAUGUGGAGUGUCAAACAGAUGCUUUUCUGGACAGACCACCUACUCCACUCUUCAUCCCAGCCAAAACAGGGAGAGAUGUGGCCACACAGAUAGAAGAAGGAGAGCUCUUUGACUUUGACAUUGAAGUCAAACCAAUGCUAGAAGUUUUGAUUGGAAAAAUCAUUGAACAAGCUUUGCUAGAAGUCAUGGAAGAAGAGGAGCUGGCCAGUCUGCGGACACAUCAGUAUGCAUAUGAGGAACUACGCAAUGCCGAGCUCGCUGAAGUACAACGUCUUGAGGAGCAGGAGAGGCGACACAGAGAAGAAAAGGAACGUCGCAAAAAUCAACAGUCACAAUUGCUUCAAAAGCAGAAGGAGACUUCAGAGAAAAUUGCAGCAAGGGCAUUUGCUCAGCGUUACCUGGCUGAUCUCAUUCCUUCAGUCUUUAGCAGUCUUCGUGAGAGUGGAUAUUUCUAUGAUCCUGUAGAAAGAGAUGUUGAGAAAGAAUUCCUUCCAUGGGUGAUGGCAGAAGUAGAUAAGACAUUGGAGAAGAAGAUUCUGGGAAGGGCAGUGCUUGACACAUUGAUUCGUGAGGUGGUUGAAAAGAGGUUAGAUGCGUUUGAUCAUCCAGAAGCAUCUGGUCAGCCUGCUGGGCAAACAGAAGCAUCUCAUCGAGGCUCUGUUCAGAUAGAAGCAUUACAUCAAACAGAAACUCAGGAGCCUGAAGCUAAGUGAAGACCAAACCAAACAUCAAGUAAUCAGAUGUGGCGGGGAAAGCAGCCAGACAGCAGGAGGUUUUUAAAAAAAUGCCACGGAAGAAACAAGGAAGUAAUGGGGCUCCUGAGACAUGAAGCAGGGCAGCACGGGGCACUGAGCAGGGACCCAGAAUGCCUUCUGCUCACCACCUGCCCCCUUCCCACAAGAUCUGUCGAGAGAGCUGCACUGUGAGAUAGCUGCCCUACAGUGCUGCUCUCAUCCACGAUGGAAGUGCUGGUAGUGUAAACACUCUCUGACGCCUGAGGAAUUGAGGGGCUUAACUAUAGCUAAGAAGAUUGCGCUUGAUCAUUUGUGAAAAGAAGAUUCAAUUUGUUUAGGAAAUUGUUCCAAGAAGGGAACAAUAAACUGAAGAUUUUUAUUUUUGCAAAUUUUUAACAGGCUUUAUGCUUUAUUUCCUAUAAAAUUUACUUAAAGAAAGAGUGGCUGCAUGAUUAUACGUGUAAAUAGUGUUUAGUAUUAAUCCUUUUCACACUUGGAUUACUAUACAAAGAGUUAGUGAAUUCACUAUAUGCAUUGCAGUAAUAUAGGAAUAUUGGCUUAAGAAAGUUCUAUAGUACCCUUUUUGUUAAGAAAUCCAAAUCAAGUAUCCAUUGCAGAUAUAUUGCAUCGUAUCCUUAAAGUCCAUCUGCAUUUACCCUAUUACUUAAUAAAUCCAGGAGUGUGUACAUGCAUGUAGAUAUGAAGAAAAUAAAGCAAGUUCACUCAACUCUAAAAAGAUGUAUUGGCAACUUCAGUUUAAAUGAAUGGCAUUAAAAAAAAUGUGAUUGAGUGUGCUUGUUUAUGGUGUUGCAAAACGUAACAAAUUAUCGGUAAAGUCAGCCUCGGAAGUUUCUCUACCCAGCUGUGCUUAGCUUUUUCCCCUUUAAUGAAGAUUGAAAAUAAUUUUGGAAAGUUACUAGAAAAUUGCAAUCCAUUCAUUUUUCCUAGAAGGUCAGUUGUAUGAUACAGUGACAUUUCUGCUUAAUUAAUAUUUGUGAAUACAGUGCAAGCUUGUAAUCAUAUUUAUACUUUUCAGAUUGUAUUAGUGAAAAAAAAUGUCAUGAUGAUAAUAUGUUGCAAAAAUUCUCCUAUGAUAAAACUUCCACAGUGCAAUAUAACAGGAGUAUCCAUUCUCUUUGAUCCUGAAGUAUGGAACGAUAAGUGUUCUGUUAUCAACGGCUAAUAGUUCAGUUAGUGCCCAAUGUUUAAGAUAAACCAGAUUCCAUCCUAUUUAAAUACAGUACUGGUUUAAAGAUAACCACAGAAUGAAUCCUAUGAAAGUUCACAUAAUGAAAAAAUCUCAGUACCUGUAUAUGCUAUAUUUAAAGUAAGAAAAAAAAUUAUAGCAUCCAUUUCUGAUUCUCUUUGUUUGAGUGGCUGUAUUGUAGAAGAGGAACAUAAUCUGUCCGGGCAGGCAGGCAGGCAGCCAGCUUUCUCUGUUUGAAUGAGAAUGUUCUAAGCUAACCCUUUCUAGGAAGAAUAUUGACAUUUAUGUAAAAACUUGCUUUCCACAAACACGUGUCAAUAAAAUAUCAUUGAACUUUAAUACAAAA
This is an RNA transcript of Mauremys reevesii (Reeves's turtle), 2838 nucleotides long. It is a transcript of the gene named radial spoke head 3, with no coding region annotated. Lineage: Eukaryota; Metazoa; Chordata; Testudines; Geoemydidae. The transcript is spliced from 10 exons. The record is from RefSeq and is a predicted model, not a curated record.